Molecule: ribosomal RNA, 882 nt
Filed under: Didymella magnoliae Jayasiri et al. (nom. illeg.)
Lineage: Eukaryota; Fungi; Ascomycota; Dothideomycetes; Pleosporales; Didymellaceae
Description: Didymella magnolia partial large subunit ribosomal RNA
Rfam family: Eukaryotic large subunit ribosomal RNA
Source: RNAcentral
ACAGGGAUUGCCUUAGUAACGGCGAGUGAAGCGGCAACAGCUCAAAUUUGAAAUCUGGCKUCUUCGGCGUCCGAGUUGUAAUUUGCAGAGGGCGCUUUGGCAUUGGCAGCGGUCCAAGUUCCUUGGAACAGGACGUCACAGAGGGUGAGAAUCCCGUACGUGGUCGCUAGCCUUUACCGUGUAAAGCCCCUUCGACGAGUCGAGUUGUUUGGGAAUGCAGCUCUAAAUGGGAGGUAAAUUUCUUCUAAAGCUAAAUACUGGCCAGAGACCGAUAGCGCACAAGUAGAGUGAUCGAAAGAUGAAAAGCACUUUGGAAAGAGAGUUAAAAAGCACGUGAAAUUGUUGAAAGGGAAGCGCUUGCAGCCAGACUUGCCUGUAGUUGCUCAUCCGGGUUUCUACCCGGUGCACUCUUCUAUAGGCAGGCCAGCAUCAGUUUGGGCGGUUGGAUAAAGGUCUCUGUCAUGUACCUCUCUUCGGGGAGAACUUAUAGGGGAGACGACAUGCAACCAGCCUGGACUGAGGUCCGCGCAUCUGCUAGGAUGCUGGCGUAAUGGCUGUAAGCGGCCCGUCUUGAAACACGGACCAAGGAGUCUAACAUCUAUGCGAGUGUUUGGGUGUCAAGCCCGAGCGCGUAAUGAAAGUGAACGGAGGUGGGAACCUUUCGGGGUGCACCAUCGACCGAUCCUGAUGUCUUCGGAUGGAUUUGAGUAAGAGCAUAGCUGUUGGGACCCGAAAGAUGGUGAACUAUGCUUGAAUAGGGUGAAGCCAGAGGAAACUCUGGUGGAGGCUCGCAGCGGUUCUGACGUGCAAAUCGAUCGUCAAAUUUGGGCAUAGGGGCGAAAGACUAAUCGAACUAUCUAGUAGCUGGUUCCUGCCGAGUCU